AACGAACGCUGGCGGCAGGUCUAACACAUGCAAGUCGAGCGAGGACUUCGGUUCUAGCGGCGGACGGGUGAGUAACGCGUGGGAAUGUGCCCUUCUCUACGGAAUAGCCCUGGGAAACUGGGAGUAAUACCGUAUACGCCCUUUUGGGGAAAGAUUUAUCGGAGAAGGAUCAGCCCGCGUUGGAUUAGGUAGUUGGUGGGGUAAUGGCCUACCAAGCCGACGAUCCAUAGCUGGUUUGAGAGGAUGAUCAGCCACACUGGGACUGAGACACGGCCCAGACUCCUACGGGAGGCAGCAGUGGGGAAUCUUAGACAAUGGGGGCAACCCUGAUCUAGCCAUGCCGCGUGAGUGAUGAAGGCCUUAGGGUUGUAAAGCUCUUUCAGCUGGGAAGAUAAUGACGGUACCAGCAGAAGAAGCCCCGGCUAACUCCGUG
Molecule: ribosomal RNA, 433 nt
Filed under: uncultured bacterium
Lineage: Bacteria
Description: partial 16S ribosomal RNA
Rfam family: Bacterial small subunit ribosomal RNA
Source: RNAcentral